AUGGACAUGAGGGCUUCUGCUCAGCUCCUGGGGCUCCUGCUGCUCUGGGUUGCAAGUGCCAGAUGUGACAUCCAGUUGACCCAGCCACAAUCCCUGCCAUCAUCUCUGGGCAACGGAGUCACCAUUACUUGCAGAGCCAGUCAGGACAUUAGUGAGAGUUUACAUUGGUACCAGCAGAGAGCAGGGAAAGCUCCAAAGCUCCUGAUUCGUUAUGCAACUACUUUGCAAUCUGGGUUUCCAUUAAGGUUCAGUGGCAGUGGAUCUGGGACAGGGUUCACUCUCGCCAUCAGCAGCCUGCAGCCUGAAGAUGUGGCAACUUAUUUCUGUCAACAGAGUUAUAACAAUCCUCCCACAGGGAUACAAGUCAUAACAAAAACCUCCCAGCAAGGCAGAAGAUCCAGUGGAGAUGUUGUGAAGACCCAGUCUCCUGCCUGUCACACUGGGAGAUACGGCCUCCAUCUCCUGCAGGUCUAG
This is a non-coding RNA of Dipodomys ordii (Ord's kangaroo rat), 474 nucleotides long. NCBI's taxonomy places the organism in Eukaryota, Metazoa, Chordata, Mammalia, Rodentia, Heteromyidae. The record is from the annotation of a RefSeq genome assembly.